GAACAUAAGGAUUUUUAAACUAUCAACUUUUUUGCACACUUAAUUACUUAGGCCUGAAUUUUAAAAAUCUAAUUGUAGCCAUAUGUAUUAGUUCAUUUUCACACUGCUGUAAAGAUACUACCUGAGACUGGGUAAUUUAUAAAGAAAAAAUCAUUUAAUUGAUUUCACAUUUCCACAUGGCUCGGGAGGCCUUAGGACAUUUACAAUCAUGGCAGAAGGCAAAAGG
This 226-nucleotide long non-coding RNA is filed under the name Homo sapiens (human). RNAcentral's name for it is "HSALNT0284011". Lineage: Eukaryota; Metazoa; Chordata; Mammalia; Primates; Hominidae. The record is from RNAcentral.